RNAcentral lists this ribosomal RNA (1992 nucleotides) under human gut metagenome. Its description in RNAcentral is "bacterial LSU rRNA". It matches the Rfam family "Bacterial large subunit ribosomal RNA", at positions 488 to 2569 of the family's 2925-position model. The record is from RNAcentral.
UAGCGUAUAGUACUGUGAAGGAAAGGUGAAAAGCACCCCGGGAGGGGAGUGAAAAAGAACCUGAAACCCUGUGCCUACAAGCACCUAGAGCACGUCAAUGUGUGAUAGGGUACUUUUUGUAGAACGGUCCGGCGAGCGAUUGUAUGCAGCAAGGUUAAGGACUUAAGGUCUGGAGCCGAAGCGAAAGCGAGUUUGAAAAGGGCGUUAAGUUGCAUACAAUGGGCCCGAAACCGGGUGACCUACCCAUGGUCAGGUUGAAGUGGAAGUAAAAUUCCAUGGAGGACCGAACCGACCUCCGUUGAAAAGGCGGCGGAUGAACUGUGGGUAGCGGAGAAAUUCCAAUCGAACCCGGAGAUAGCUGGUUCUCCCCGAAAUAGUUUUAGGACUAGCCUCAAGUUAGAUACCUGGAGGUAAAGCACUGAAUAGCCUAGCGGCCGAGAGGUUAGCGAAGCUUAUCAAACUCAGAAUGCCAGAGUAUUGAUGCUUGGGAGUCAGACAGUGUCAGAUAAAUGUCAUUGUCAAAAGGGAAACAGCCCAGAUCUACAGCUAAGGUCCCAAAGUCAGGUUAAGUGGAAAACGAUGUGAAGAUACGUAGACAACCAGGAUGUUGGCUCAGAAGCAGCCACACAUUCAAAGAGUGCGUAAUAGCUCACUGGUCGAGCGUCUUUGCGCGGAGAAUUUAACGGGGCUAAACCUGACACCGAAGCUUAGGCAAUACAGCAAUGUAUUGGGUAGGGGAGCGUUGUAUACGCGGUGAAACAGUAGCGCAAGCGGCUGUGGAGUGUAUAGAAGUGAGAAUGCCGGAAUGAGUAGCGCGAAUGCAGUGAGAAUCUGCAUGGCCGAAAGCCUCAGGUUUCUGGAGGAAGGUUCGUCCGCUCCAGGUUAGUCGGGAGCUAAGGUGAGGCCUAACGGCGUAGCCGAUGCACAGACGGUAGAGAUUCCGUCACCACCAAAAGAGUUAAACACAGGGACACAUUUGAAGUCUCGGAGCCGGGUGUUGGUUCCGGUAGCGAUCGAGGGAAAUUAGUACCGAAGUCCGGGAUGGAAGAUGGCGAGAAAAGCUGUGUGUAUUUCUGCGGUGCCCGUACCGCAAACCGACACAGGUAGGUAGGAAGAAGAUUCUAAGGCCAACGGGAGAAGGGUUGUUAAGGAACUCGGCAAAUUGACCCCGUAACUUCGGGAGAAGGGGUGCUCUAGAGAUAGAGCCGCAGAGAAUCGGCCCAAGCAACUGUUUACCAAAAACACAGGUUUGUGCUAAAUCGAAAGAUGACGUAUACGAGCUGACGCCUGCCCGGUGCUGGAAGGUUAAGAGGAGAUGUGCAAGCAUUGAAUCGAAGCCCCAGUGAACGGCGGCCGUAACUAUAACGGUCCUAAGGUAGCGAAAUUCCUUGUCAGGUAAGUUCUGACCCGCAUGAAAGGCGUAAUGAUUUGGGCACUGUCUCGACAGCCCGCCCGGCGAAAUUGUAGUACCGGUGAAGAUGCCGGUUACCCGCGACAAGACGGAAAGACCCCAUGGAGCUUUACUGUAGCCUAAUAUUGGGUUUCGAUGUUGCAUGCACAGGAUAGAUGGGACACAGGGAAACAAGUGCUUUGGCAUUUGUGGAGUGGCCGUUGGGAUACCAUCCUUGCGAUAUUGGAAUUCUAACCUGCGCCUUUGAAUCAAGGCGGGGGACAUUGUUAGGUGGGCAGUUUGACUGGGGCGGUCGCCUCCUAAAGAGUAACGGAGGCGUUCAAAGGUUCGCUCAGCUUGAACGGAAAUCAAGCAAAAGAGUGCAAACGCAGAAGCGAGCCUAACUGCGAGACUGACGGGUCGAGCAGUAACGAAAGUUGGAGUUAGUGAUCCGGUGGUAUGUGAGUGGAAAUGCCAUCGCUCAACGGAUAAAAGUUACCCUGGGGAUAACAGGCUGAUCUCCCCCAAGAGUCCACAUCGACGGGGAGGUUUGGCACCUCGAUGUCGGCUCAUCGCAUCCUGGGGCUGUAGCAGGUCCCAAG